UACAACUCCAUCCUCCACUCUUCUUUAAUCUCCACCCUCCACGGCUCUCACGCCUUCUUCAAUUCUGCCCGUUCCACUUACCACAUCCUCCUUUCCUACUCCCCUUUUUUCCGCAAGCCCAUCAAUCAUACUCUUUUCGGCCCCGACUCCAAUCUCGCCACUCUCAACCUCCUCUUUCGUUCAACUAGUUAUUGUUAUCAUUUUCCAUCAUUGUCCUGGAUCGCCUUCAUUUUUCAUCCCAUAAUAAUCAAAUUAAAUUGAAAGAAAAAAUCGAAUCAAUCGAAGGCGGGUGAUGUGCUUGAUUAAGUAGGUUCGGGUGAAGACAAAUGAGGGAGUGAGAGUCGAAGGUGGCAUGAUGGUGUAACUUGUUUAUUUUAGUUGAUUUUGUUAUUAUUUUUAGUUGAUUUUGGUUAAUUUUAUGUUAUUAAUACCAGCCCCGCUAGGACCCUCAA
Molecule: long non-coding RNA, 452 nt
Organism: Daucus carota subsp. sativus
Lineage: Eukaryota; Viridiplantae; Streptophyta; Magnoliopsida; Apiales; Apiaceae
Exons: 2
Source: RefSeq, a predicted model, not a curated record